This 324-nucleotide ribosomal RNA is filed under the name uncultured Bacillota bacterium. RNAcentral describes it as "bacterial SSU rRNA". It matches the Rfam family "Bacterial small subunit ribosomal RNA", at positions 18 to 337 of the family's 1533-position model. The record is from RNAcentral. Lineage: Bacteria; Bacillati; Bacillota.
UCUGGCUCAGGACGAACGCUGGCGGCGCGCCUAACACAUGCAAGUCGAACGAGCGAGAGAGAGCUUGCUUUCUCAAGCGAGUGGCGAACGGGUGAGUAACGCGUGAGGAACCUGCCUCAAAGAGGGGGACAACAGUUGGAAACGACUGCUAAUACCGCAUAAGCCCACGGCUCGGCAUCGAGCAGAGGGAAAAGGAGCAAUCCGCUUUGAGAUGGCCUCGCGUCCGAUUAGCUAGUUGGUGAGGUAAUGGCCCGCCAAGGCGACGAUCGGUAGCCGGACUGAGAGGUUGAACGGCCACAUUGGGACUGAGACACGGCCCAGACU